CUGUUUGGUGUCUGCCCAGCAAGGCCCAGCUCGUCCGUCAUUCCCGGCCGUGUCACCGUGUGGUGACAUGGAAAUGGCUCCAGCGGAGGCUCCAGCGUUUAAAGGUGCCUGCCUGCCGGGAUGGCUGCGGGAGCACGGAUGGGCCGAGUCCUGCUGGGCCCUGCUGCUCCUGCCGGGCACGGCGAGGAACCGAGGCAGGCGUGGCCAUGGACCAGCUCCCUGCCUCUCGGUGGAAGGCUCUGGGAGCGAGCAGGAUGUCAGUCUGGGCUCCUCUGAGCACAGGUAACGCUUGGAAGGCAAAGGCAGCAGCUUGCAGGGGGCAGAUGGACCGGAGACAGAGCGGAGCCAAAGCGCCUGAAGGCCGUGGAUGUGUGCAGCUUCCCGGGGCUCCGCUUGGCUUCCUCGGGCUGCAUCCCAGCGGGAGGAGCCGCAGAGCCCGGCCACGAGGGAUCGGGGCUGGGCACCCAAAAUCAGGUGGCUCCAUCCUGUAUAGACAUCGCCGUCCUGAGUGAGGCCAUUGUCAGCAUGUCCCUGGGAGGGAAAUGGGACCAAGGGCACGGGGGAUCCCUGGGUGCCCAAAGCUCUGGAAUUCUGGGUUCGUGUCCGUGCACCAGAUCUCCUCAGGACACAGGGCUUUAGAGAAGGAUGUGGCCCUGCAAUGCAAUCCCUGAUCCUGCUUUAAUUCUCCCUGUGCUUUGAGGGUUUAUUCUCCCCUCUCCAUUAAUCUCUGAAUAUUAGGUGGAAAGCGAACAAUUACCGUGCUAAUGGCUCCAUAAAUUCCUUCAUUACUUAUUAAACUCGAGCCCUCCCCACGCAGCGGAGGAAAAGAGACGAAAUGGAGAAGAAAAGGGAGCGGAGGGGGGUGAGGAGCCAGGGCAGAGGGUCUCGGGCUGGGCUGCGGCGGCGGGGCCGGCUCAGAUGCGGUAAUUCACGGGCUGUCGUUGCCCUCUGCCGGCAACGGGACGGGCAGGUGCUGCCUGCCCUGCUCUUCCCUGCCAGAUCUGCUCUCCCUGCCCUGCUCUUCCCUGCCAGAUCUGCUCUCCCUGCCCUGCUCUCCCUGCCCUGCUCUUCCUGCCCUGCUCUCCCUGCUCUGCGUACAGAGCCCCGACAUCCCUGGGCUACAAGGCUGGGGAGCCGCGGGGUGUCGGGGGCGGCUGCUGCUGAGGAUGCUCCGCAGAAGUCGCUGCUUGGGGACCCAAAGCCCUCGGGGACGAUGCUGAGCAGAGCUCACGGCAACACGAGCUUGGCUUUAGCAGCGGCUUAACCCGGCAGCGGCACGGGCAAGGGUGCCGCCUCGCUGCUCGCUGCCAAACCUCCCCGGCAUCCCGCAGCGUAGAUGUUCUCCGAUUUCUUUUCUGCGGGCCAAGGCGAGGUCCGGGCCACUGCGGGGAUCGCAGCCACCGUUCCAGGGGAAGCUUCGCCUCGGUUCCAGCCAGCUGGGAUACGAGCACAUCUCGGCAGCUCGGCUGAAUGCAAAACUGCAAACAGGCAAAUGCCUCCCCAGCAGAGGGGCUCGCAGCCUGUCUGGAUCGGUGGGAUUGGAGAGGGAGCUCUGGGAUCCAUCCAAGGAGCCCACUGCAUCUCCUCCUCCAUCAGACCCACCUGCUCCUCUGCGAUCUGCUCCAGCUGGGUUUGGAAAGGAAAACACACUGUUAAACCCCAAGAUAAUGUUUCUGGUUUUGUUGUUGUUGGGGGCUUUUUUUGUUUGUUUGUUUUUUUUCUGUUGUUGGUUUGGUUUUCUUCCCAGGGAACAGCCAAUUUCUGUGGUUCUGUGAAACCCAAGUAUCCUGUGGGAUGAGCCCAGCU
This is a long non-coding RNA of Serinus canaria (Common canary), 1806 nucleotides long. RefSeq lists it as uncharacterized. The record is from RefSeq and is a predicted model, not a curated record. Lineage: Eukaryota; Metazoa; Chordata; Aves; Passeriformes; Fringillidae. The transcript has 3 exons.